CCUUACAAUCGCCCUGUUGGUGCUCGUGCCAGGGUUCUCCCUGGUGCAGUUAAACGGGAAGCAGGACGGUUCAGGCAUUCACACAUGCCACGCCCCACCUGCGCUGCCCCCGCAACGGUCAGCGGUCGAAGUGUUGGGGAUGAUGUCUCUGACGCUUCCACCCGUGCUCUCUUGCCACUGGACGCUCACGCGUCUGGGAAGGCUGCAUGGGUUGUACCGCUUAGCCCGGAUACCGGCCAACAGGGGGUGCUUUGCA
This 256-nucleotide non-coding RNA is filed under the name Aquabacterium sp. CECT 9606. Lineage: Bacteria; Pseudomonadati; Pseudomonadota; Betaproteobacteria; Burkholderiales; Sphaerotilaceae. The record is from RNAcentral.